RNAcentral lists this ribosomal RNA (224 nucleotides) under uncultured bacterium. RNAcentral describes it as "partial 16S ribosomal RNA". It matches the Rfam family "Bacterial small subunit ribosomal RNA", at positions 107 to 334 of the family's 1533-position model. The record is from RNAcentral.
UGAGUAAUACAUCGGAACGUGUCUUCUAGUGGGGGAUAACUGCCCGAAAGGGCAGCUAAUACCGCAUGAGACCUGAGGGUGAAAGCGGGGGAUCGCAAGACCUCGCGCCGGAAGAGCGGCCGAUGUCCGAUUAGCUAGUUGGUGAGGUAAAGGCUCACCAAGGCGACGAUCGGUAGCUGGUCUGAGAGGACGACCAGCCACACUGGGACUGAGACACGGCCCAG